CAGUCGCCGCGGUAAUACGUAGGUGGCAAGCGUUGUCCAGAAUUAUUGGGCGUAAAGGGCUCGCAGGCGGUUUCUUAAGUCUGAUGUGAAAGCCCCCGGCUCAACCGGGGAGGGUCAUUGGAAACUGGGAAACUUGAGUGCAGAAGAGGAGAGUGGAAUUCCACGUGUAGCGGUGAAAUGCGUAGAGAUGUGGAGGAACACCAGUGGCGAAGGCGACUCUCUGGCCUGUAACUGACGCUGAGGAGCGAAAGCGUGGGGAGCGAACAGGAUUAGAUACCCGUGUAGUCCCUGUCUCUUAUAC
Molecule: ribosomal RNA, 301 nt
Filed under: uncultured bacterium
Lineage: Bacteria
Description: partial 16S ribosomal RNA
Rfam family: Bacterial small subunit ribosomal RNA
Source: RNAcentral